AGAGUUUGAUCCUGGCUCAGAACGAACGCUGGCGGCAGGCCUAACACAUGCAAGUCGAACGAGAUUCUUCCUUCGGGGAGAUGACAGUGGCAGACGGGUGAGUAACACGUGGGAAUCUACCUAUGAGUACGGAAUAAUUCGGGGAAACCCGGGCUAAUACCGUAUAUUACCCUUUUGGGGAAAGAUUUAUCGCUCAUUGAUGAGCCCGCGUUGGAUUAGUUUGUUGGUGGGGUAAGAGCCUACCAAGGCUACGAUCCAUAGCUGGUCUGAGAGGAUGAUCAGCCACACUGGGACUGAGACACGGCCCAGACUCCUACGGGAGGCAGCAGUGGGGAAUCUUGCACAAUGGGCGCAAGCCUGAUGCAGCCAUGCCGCGUGAGCGAAGAAGGCUUUAGGGUUGUAAAGCUCUUUCACCGGAGAAGAUAAUGA
This 429-nucleotide ribosomal RNA is filed under the name uncultured bacterium. RNAcentral's name for it is "bacterial SSU rRNA". It matches the Rfam family "Bacterial small subunit ribosomal RNA", at positions 8 to 454 of the family's 1533-position model. The record is from RNAcentral.